AUGGGUUACUCCAAAAACCUAGGGGCUGGCCUGUUUGCCAUGCUGCUCCUUGCUCCGGCCGUCCUAGCCUCGGACCCUGACCCUCUCCAGGACUUCUGCGUUGCCAACCUCAACGGCAAGGCGGUCUCGGUGAACGGGCAUCCAUGCAAACCCUUGUUAGAGGCCGGCGACGACUUCCUCUUCUCGUCCAAGCUGGCCAAGGCCGGCAACACGUCCACCCCGAAUGGCUCGGCUGUGACGGAGCUCGACGUGGCCGAGUGGCCCGGUACGAACACGCUGGGUGUGUCCAUGAACCGCGUGGACUUCGCGCGGGGAGGCACCAACCCGCCUCACAUCCACCCGCGCGGGACCGAGAUCGGCAUGGUGAUGAAAGGUGAGCUCCUCGUUGGAAUCCUCGGCAGCCUCGACUCCGGAAACAAGCUCUACUCCAGGGUGGUGCGUGCUGGAGAGACGUUCCUCAUCCCGCGCGGGCUCAUGCACUUCCAGUUCAACGUUGGUAAGACGGAUGCCUACAUGGUUGUCUCCUUCAACAGCCAGAACCCCGGCAUCGUCUUCGUGCCGCUCACGCUCUUCGGUUCCAACCCGCCAAUCCCCACGCCAGUGCUCACCAAGGCGCUAAGGGUGGAGGCCGGGGUCGUCGAACUUCUCAAGUCCAAGUUCGCUGGUGGGUCUUAA
This 675-nucleotide ribosomal RNA is filed under the name Triticum aestivum (bread wheat). RNAcentral's name for it is "partial small subunit ribosomal RNA". Lineage: Eukaryota; Viridiplantae; Streptophyta; Magnoliopsida; Poales; Poaceae. The record is from RNAcentral.